UUUAGUCAUGUCUGAAAUUUGGUUUUACUGAGAUAAAUUUUGUGAAAUGUAAAAAAAAAUAUUGAUGAAUUUAUAAUAUAUAUAAGUUUAGUUUUCAUUUCUUUAGAAUAUACGAAAAGUGCAUAUAUUGCAUAAUAAACAUAAACAUGAUCUUUAUACCUGCAAAAUUGAUGAAUAUGAUAUGAUCACCAAGCCUUUUUCUAGUAUUCAAAUAAAAGUUUAUGAGAUAUUUUCUCUGCAGGAAUUCAGAUAACAACCAAUGGGCUUUGCUCAGUGUUGAAGGCCAUCAUGAUGACAUAUAGUUGUUAAUUUCUGUGUCAUUUGGUUUCUUGUGGAAAGUUGUCUCAUUGGCAAUCAUACUACAUCUUCCUUUUUAUAAUCGAAUGAGAAUUAAAUGAAGAGAUUUAUUGAUGUAGAUUUGUUUUCUCUGACUGGGUUAGAGGUAAUAGUAGACAGGUUGUUAUGUUGGCUGACUGUGCUCAUGUUACUUUACUAUUUUUAUACCUAGACCAAUUAUAUUUUGUUAAUAAUCAUUUUAAACAUAAUAAAAUAUGCACAAUAAACGUAAUUUCUCAUAUUAAAACUGUUAUUUAAUUUGUCAACAUUUUUGUAUGCAUAAUGUAUGUUUGAAA
RNAcentral lists this long non-coding RNA (632 nucleotides) under Mytilus galloprovincialis (Mediterranean mussel). Lineage: Eukaryota; Metazoa; Mollusca; Bivalvia; Mytilida; Mytilidae. The record is from RNAcentral.